This 567-nucleotide ribosomal RNA is filed under the name Cryptococcus sp. M19. RNAcentral's name for it is "eukaryotic LSU rRNA". It matches the Rfam family "Eukaryotic large subunit ribosomal RNA", at positions 47 to 602 of the family's 3401-position model. Lineage: Eukaryota; Fungi; Basidiomycota; Tremellomycetes; Tremellales; Cryptococcaceae. The record is from RNAcentral.
UAAGCGGAGGAAAAGAAACUAACAAGGAUUCCCCUAGUAACGGCGAGUGAAGCGGGAAGAGCUCAAAUUUGAAAUCUGGUAGCCUUCGGUUGCCCGAGUUGUAAUCUAGAGAAGUGUUUUCCGUGCCGGCCCAUGUACAAGUCCCUUGGAACAGGGCGUCAUAGAGGGUGAGAAUCCCGUCCUUGACAUGGACCCCCGGUGCUUUGUGAUACACUUUCAACGAGUCGAGUUGUUUGGGAAUGCAGCUCAAAAUGGGUGGUGAAUUCCAUCUAAAGCUAAAUAUUGGCGAGAGACCGAUAGCGAACAAGUACCGUGAGGGAAAGAUGAAAAGCACUUUGGAAAGAGAGUUAAACAGUACGUGAAAUUGUUGAAAGGGAAACGAUUGAAGUCAGUCAUGCUCUUGGGACUUACCUCCCUUGAGUGGGGUCAACAUCAGUUUUGAUCGAUGGAUAAAGGCACGGGGAAGGUAGCACUCUCGGGUGAACUUAUAGCCUCGCGUCAUAUACAUUGAUUGGGACUGAGGAACGCAGCAUGCCUUAUGGCCGGGAUUCGUCCACGUACAUGCUA